CACAAACGACUCUCGGCAACGGAUAUCUCGGCUCUCGCAUCGAUGAUUUCAUCGAUUUGAGAACGCAGCGAAAUGCGAUACUUGGUGUGAAUUGCAGAAUCCCGUGAACCAUCGAGUCUUUGAACGCAAGUUGCGCCCGAAGCCGUCAGGCCGAGGGCACGUCUGCCUGGGCGUCACGCAUCGCGUCGCCCCCUCCC
RNAcentral lists this ribosomal RNA (197 nucleotides) under Ezosciadium capense. Its description in RNAcentral is "5.8S ribosomal RNA". The stretch from base 8 to 176 matches the Rfam family "5.8S ribosomal RNA". Rfam says of the family: 5.8S ribosomal RNA (5.8S rRNA) is a component of the large subunit of the eukaryotic ribosome. It is transcribed by RNA polymerase I as part of the 45S precursor that also contains 18S and 28S rRNA. Lineage: Eukaryota; Viridiplantae; Streptophyta; Magnoliopsida; Apiales; Apiaceae. The record is from RNAcentral.